GCCCCUGCCAGCGCUUGCCCAGGUCAAAGGCAGGGUGCGACCAGCGCUCGUACCGCCCUCCGGAGGCGGGAGCGCAGGUUCGAAUCCUGCCGGGGGCA
This 98-nucleotide transfer RNA is filed under the name Micromonospora sp. WMMC273. RNAcentral's name for it is "tRNA-Arg". The stretch from base 44 to 98 matches the Rfam family "tRNA". Rfam says of the family: Transfer RNA (tRNA) molecules are approximately 80 nucleotides in length. Lineage: Bacteria; Bacillati; Actinomycetota; Actinomycetes; Micromonosporales; Micromonosporaceae. The record is from RNAcentral.